This 460-nucleotide ribosomal RNA is filed under the name uncultured bacterium. RNAcentral's name for it is "partial 16S ribosomal RNA". It matches the Rfam family "Bacterial small subunit ribosomal RNA", at positions 338 to 795 of the family's 1533-position model. The record is from RNAcentral.
CCUACGGGUGGCAGCAGUGAGGAAUAUUGGUCAAUGGGCGGGAGCCUGAACCAGUCAAGUCGCGUGAGGGACGACGGUCCUAUGGAUUGUAAACCUCUUUUGUCGGGGAACAAAGGCGCCCACGGGUGGGCGGAUGAGUGUACCCGAAGAAAAAGCAUCGGCUAACUCCGUGCCAGCAGCCGCGGUAAUACGUAGGGGGCAAGCGUUAUCCGGAUUUACUGGGUGUAAAGGGAGCGUAGACGGCAAUACAAGUCGGAAGUGAAAUACCCGGGCUCAACCUGGGAACUGCUUUGGAAACUGUAUGGCUGGAGUGCUGGAGAGGUAAGCGGAAUUCCUAGUGUAGCGGUGAAAUGCGUAGAUAUUAGGAGGAACACCAGUGGCGAAGGCGGCUUACUGGACAGUAACUGACGUUGAGGCUCGAAAGCGUGGGGAGCAAACAGGAUUAGAUACCCGAGUAGUC